UGGGAUUCGAACUCCGGACGACCUAUUGUGCUACUGCACCAUAUGUCAGCGCAUUGACCACAAGGCUAUUGCGCUGACAAUAUUCUUUUAUUUCAAAAAAGAUUAAGUUCACUUUAAAUUCCUGAAUGAUGCACUUAUUUAACCGUUUAAAAGAAGUGUGGACUGUGCACUUGGGGCUGUCUUUGUUUGUUUGCAGAUUGGAGUGGAGCAGAAGAAGGAGACUCACAAGCGGAAUGGUGGAGAUAUACUGCAAGACCUGGAGCUCAGGAAGCAGGUUGGCAUGGAGCAUGUGGAGGAACAGGGAAACGCACCUUAGUGUUUCUUUUUCCUGUAAUGGACACACAACAGACAGAAGAAGGAGACUCACAAGAGCAUCGGUGGAGAUUUGUCUGAAAACCGCUGGUUAACAGUUUGUGCAUUUCUGGAGUUCAGCAAGCAUGUAGAGCUCUGUUAGUUGUGUCUUUAUCUUUUCCAGGCUGGAGUGCAGCAUGUGGAGACAAAUAGGAAUCACACACCUCAGCAAUGGACACUGAUGGUCAGGAAUAUCCUUUAAAGGCAGAUGAAUGGGUGCAUGGAUGGAUGUCCUUCCAAGUGGAAGGGGGUGGUGGUGGGCAUAGAUUGUUAGAUAUAUGUAUUGUCUGUGGCUAUUAUUUACAACUACAAAAGGCAGAAGAGUCAGACUCACAAGCAAAAUGGUUAAUACUUAUCUUAGGAACACUGAAGAACGUUUGGUUUAUUGAUGCAGAUCAUCCAGCAAGUAGAGCUUUGUUAGUCUUGUUUUUGUCUUUUGCAGAUUAGACUGGGGCCUGUGGAGAAACGGGACUCGCACCUCAGCAUGACUGGAAACUGAUGGUCUGGGCUGCGUUUCCCAAACAACGAAGUAACUCACGGCUAAACUAUAAAAGUCUGAUGCAUCGUUUGAGAAAAGAAUGAUGUAGUGACGAGUGUUUCCCAAAACCUGUAGUUUCUCUGUCGCAGCUCCAUCGCUUAAACCAGGUUAGUUAUAAUUAUGAUAAAAUGCCCGUAAUGAUGC
Danio rerio (zebrafish) is the source of this 1033-nucleotide non-coding RNA. The record is from RefSeq and is a predicted model, not a curated record. Lineage: Eukaryota; Metazoa; Chordata; Actinopteri; Cypriniformes; Danionidae.